UUUUUAGAGUUUGAUCCUGGCUCAGAACGAACGCUGGCGGCAGGCUUAACACAUGCAAGUCGAGCGAGGACUUCGGUCCUAGCGGCGGACGGGUGAGUAACGCGUGGGAACGUGCCCUUCUGUGCGGAAUAGCCUCGGGAAACUGAGAGUAAUACCGCAUACGCCCUUCGGGGGAAAGAUUUAUCGCAGAAGGAUCGGCCCGCGUCUGAUUAGGUAGUUGGUGGGGUAAUGGCCUACCAAGCCUACGAUCAGUAGCUGGUUUGAGAGGAUGAUCAGCCACACUGGGACUGAGACACGGCCCAGACUCCUACGGGAGGCAGCAGUGAGGAAUCUUGGACAAUGGGGGCAACCCUGAUCCAGCCAUGCCGCGUGAACGAUGAAGGCCUUAGGGUUGUAAAGUUCUUUCAGUCGUGAAGAUAAUGACGGAGCGACAGAAGAGCCCCG
This 444-nucleotide ribosomal RNA is filed under the name uncultured bacterium. Its description in RNAcentral is "bacterial SSU rRNA". It matches the Rfam family "Bacterial small subunit ribosomal RNA", at positions 1 to 495 of the family's 1533-position model. The record is from RNAcentral.